GGCCCGGUGGUGUAACAGUAACACGUCCUCCCAACUUUUGGUUAAGAUUUGAGUUCUGAGGAGAUCCCUUGUUCGAAUCAAGGUCAGGCCA
Non-coding RNA from Mycena polygramma, 91 nucleotides. The record is from the annotation of a GenBank genome assembly. NCBI's taxonomy places the organism in Eukaryota, Fungi, Basidiomycota, Agaricomycetes, Agaricales, Mycenaceae.